UUGGAAACAGGCUCGUUGCAGAUGUAAUUAGUUAAGUUAAGAUGAGGUCGUACUGGAGUAGCGUGGGCCCCUAAUCCAACAGGACUGUGUCUUUAUAAAAAGGGGAACUCUGGACACAGACACAGAGGGAGAACACCACGUGAAGAUGGGAGUGAUGCUGCCAGAAGCCAAGGAAGUACCAGAAGCUGGGAGAGAGGCCUGGAACACAGCCUUCCCUGGAGCCAUCAGAGGGAGCGUGGCCUGGCUGACACCUUGAUCUUGGACUUUCCAGCCUCCAGAACCGGGAGAGAAUAAAUGUCUGCUGUCUAAACCACCCACUUUGUGGUACUCGGUGGGGGCAGCCGGAGGAAACUAAUUCAGCCACCAACCACCUCGGCUGCCUUGAAGGUGACUCCUCUUGCUGCCAUUAUAGAUUGCUAGGAAGUCUGGGGUUUUGUGACCAUAACUUCCCUCAGCCAAGACUUCCUGAUGAGAAAACUGAGGCACAGAGACCACACAGAGGUAAGUGAAAGAGCUGGGAUUUGAACCCAGGUAUUGUGGCUCCUGAUCCAGGUGCCCAAGUUGGGGUGCAGCAGCGAGGCCCAUUAGCACGAGUCACGUGUGCACAGAGCCCGGAGAGAGCACUCAAUGAUUCUUUGCUUUUGCUGUCAGUUCCUCUUUCAGGUCACAUAGAGGCCCCUCAGAUGGGCAUCCUGGAGCCCCAUGUUCUCUGGAGUCUCUUUCCUUCUCUUCUCCUCUUUCCUUAUCUUGAAACCUGCCCUUCGGGAUGCAGGCUCCACUGCAUGAUCCCUGCGUCCCAUCCCGCUGCAGCAUUGUUAGAUGUCCUGGUUUCUUCCUGGUGGAGCUUGUACACAACAAACAUGUCUUCUUUUGUUAACAUUGACCUCUUAUCAGAGCAGAACUCCCAGGCUUUACUGGGUUAGCAGUGUGGAGCUUUACUCCAUUUUGCUAAGGAAUCUGUCCCCUGAGUUGAGAAGUAAAUGAGGUGGGAAGGAGAAGGAAUCUUCUACUCUUUCAUGCUAAUAACGACAGCUCGUAUUUAUUGAGCAUCGACCACAAAGCAGGCCCUGCGCCAAGUGCCUCAUCUUACAACCUUGUGAUGGGGGAUUCUUGUCCUCAUUUUCCAGGGAAAGAAGUUGAGAUGGAAAAGGGUAAGUCACUUGCCCAAGGCCUCACGGCUAUUGAGUGGCAGAGCCGAGGCUUGAACCCGGGUCUUUCUGGGCUCACAUAAAGAAAAGCAGCCAAGUCAUUUUUUAAGAGCAAGGAGGCGGUGAGGGAGGCUUCCCCACAGCUGUCAUCCCUGCGUCAUCACCUGUGUCUUAGAAGCUUUCCACGCAGGUCCCAGCCACUCUCUCCUGCAGGCUCAGCCCUGCCCCAGCUACCACCCAGGGCUGGAUGAGGCGGCCAGCGUUCUCCUGCCUCAGCCUCUCAUCCAGGGAAAUGUGUGCGGUUGCCCUUGGGUCUGCCCUUGGUGACUGUCAAGUGUCUGUGGCUACACCCUGACCAGCGGGCAGGUCUCAUGCCAGGAAGAUGUUCUGCCACCCUCUUCAGGAGCCCUGAGCUGUGGGGAGGAGGCACCACGCCCAGUCCCCAAGGUCACACCAGGCCAGGCCAAACACGAGGCCAGGCCCAGCACGACUGUUUUCAGGGAUCCUGGCCGAGACCCUCCCAAGCCCCCCACUCAUCACUGGAGAGUCUUUUGGAGCUGCCCCCACCUUUGGAGUUCAAGAGUGAUGGAGGGACUAGGGAGGAACCCCCAUUCAGGGAUCUGGGGGUCUGGACUAGAUGUAGGAGGAGUCCAGAGGUUCCCUUUGGACACUGACCAGGGCCCCUGCUGAUGCGUGGCUCUAUCUGGCUUGCUCAGUGGCUCUCAGCACCUACACGUGGGCACGCUUAGGCUUCUCCCACACAGACAGUGGGCAGGAGCCCCGAGCGGGGAAGACAAUGUGAUCAGGACAAUCCUAUGAUGCAGCGAAGCUGUCAGAUUCCCACCCAAGCCCCCUUAGCACACGCGCUCCAGUCCCUGCCAACAGGACUGCCAGCACUGCAACUCCCUGCCUGGGACAGAAGGGCAGGGCAGUUAGUGCCCCACCUCCAGCAGCCCUCAGCCAAUGACGGAUGGAGCUAGAGUUUAGUAGCCCAGCUUCCUCAACCUCCUAGUAGGAUAAUUCUAUGAUGUGUGCUACACACUUGCUGCUCAAAGCAUGGUCCAAGGGCCAGCAGCAUCAACAUCACUGGCAGCUUAUUAGAAAUGCAGAAUCUUUGAGGCUAGCCUGCUGGCGUAGUAGUUAAGUUAGCACACCCCACUUUGGCAGCCUGGGGUUUGUGGGUUCAAAUCCGUGUGUGGACCUACAUGCCACUCAUCAAGCCAUGCUCUGGUGGCGUCCCACAUACAAAAUGAAGGAAGAUUGCCACAGGUGUUAGCUCAGGGACAGUCUUCCUCACCAAAAAAAAAAACAAAGAAAAGAAAAGAAAUGCAGAAUCUUGGGCCCCACCUGAACUUCUGCAUCAGAUUCUGCAUUUUAACAGGAUCCCAGAUUUGUGGAUGUGUUAAAGUUUGAGAAGCACCAUCCAAUGAUGUUUCCCUAAGGUCCCCAGAGGGAUGAAAUCCAGGUUGCCCAUCGAAGUAACCUGCUCCAUACCAUUCUUUUACAGGCUUCCUACACGUUCAUUCUCAUUCACGCUACCCCUCACUGCUUCCUGGAAUCCUCUCCCAAGAAAACUCCAUCAUCUCUGGGUCUGCUCUGAGGAGAACCACCUAAGACCCAUGGCCUCUUUGGGAUAAAAUAAUGGAUCUGCUGCAAAAGCCCAGUCCACCUUUCUAAGCUGUGCAAUGCUGGGCAAGGGAAAUGGGAAGAGACUAAUACUUAGUUCUCAGAAUUCCUUUGAGAAUUAAAUGAGGUAGUUCUUAUACAGUUUGCACAGUGGCUAGCAAAGAGUAGCCCUUCCAUAGAUGUUGGCUAUUAUUACUCUCCUGCUGCUUCUUCUGAAGCCUUCUCCGUCCCCUGUGCCCUGUGGGUAUCCAACAUCCAGAUCAUGCAGGAAUGGUGACGUGGAGCUUCAGAAAGGUGUCUGUACUUGCGAUGGGAGAAAAGGGCUUGAAUCUAGCUGGGCCACCAAUCAAGGAAACUGAAACUUGGUUUCCUUAUCUGUGAAAUGAGAAUGUAAAUAUCAACCUCACGGGGCUAUUGUGAAGAAGAAAUUAAACAAUGUGUAGACAGCACUUGGCAAUGAAUCUGGUGUGUGGUCGGCACUCAGCAAACGUUUGUUGAAGGAAAAGCAGGAGUGACAGGGUCCUGAAUGACCUGCUGGGGUUGUGGCAUCUCUCCCACUGCCCCCUGCAUGGGACUCCCCAGGGCCACCUUGGCCUAGGCAAGCAGGAGGAGUCAGUAGAUGGAAAGGCCUGGCCGCUUGCCACUCUUGAUGAGGCUCAACUCCUUGUUCCGUGCCCAGCCAGGAAACAGUAUUAUUCCAUGAGCCCAAACCCCUCAUUGGACGAGGCCAGCAAUAACCACUGGGAUGCCAUUGUUGUUUGUGAGAUGUCUGGGCAGGACUAAUAGGUGGGGUUGACCAGAAUGAGGGAUUGUAUUAUGAGCGAAGGCGUGUUCUCAAGGGAUCCCUCCUACUCCAAAGGAUGGAGGAAGAUGCUCCAUUGAAUGAGAGCGGAGACACAGACCUGCCGCCCCAGAAGUAGCUUUCAGUCUUGCAUCAGUGGGCAGGCCUCAGACUUGCCAAGAGAAGCCACUUUCUUGGAAGGGGCUGCAAAAUUGAAACAAGACCAGUCUGCUAGUUUAGGCUGCUUUAAUUUUACAAACGGUUUGUUAUUUGCUAGCUUAUUUGAUCCUCACAACCACCCCGUAAAACAGGCUGGGAAAUAGUAUCUCCUAUUGACAAUUGAGGGAAACUGAGGUCCAGAGAGGUAAUUAACCAGCUUCAGUCAGUUGCUAGCGGCUGACGCAGGAGUCGUCCCAUAUCGUGGGUCCCGGCCCUGUGAAUUCUCCAUCCCAGAAGAUGGACAAUUUAAAUGGCAGGAGAAGGAGAGCCUCUGCUUUAAUUUUUAAAGAUAUUUUAAAAGUAAAGGAAAAAAGUCUUUAUGAGGCUAGCCUGGUGGUGCAGUGGUUAAGUUCAUGGGCUCCACUUUGAUGGCCCAGGGUUCACAGGUUUGGAUCCCAGGCGCAGACCUAGCACCGCUCAUCAAGCCACGCUGUGGUGACAUCCCACAUAAAGUGCAGGAAGGUUGUCACAGAUGUUAGCUCAGCGACAGUCUUCCUCAAGCAAAAAGAAGAAGAUUGACAACAGAUGUUAGCUCAGGGCCAAUAUUCCUCACACGCACACAAAAAAAGUAAAGGAAAAAGUCUUUUAUAUUCACUCACAUUGAUACCAUUUUCAGUGCUCUUCACUCCUUUGUGUAAAUCCUUUGUGUAAAUAUAUAUAUCCAUCUAGUACCAUUUUUCUUCUGCACAAACGACUCCCUUUGACAUUUCUUGUAGUGCAGGUCUGCUGGGGACAAAUUCUUUCAGCUUUAGUAUGUCAGCUUUUGUUUAUUGAAAGAUAUUUCCAUUGGGUGUAGAAUUCUAGGUUGUCAGUUCUUUUUCUUUCAGUUUUUUUUUUUGAGGAGGAUUAGCCCUGAGCUAACUGCCACCAAUCCUCCUCUUUUUGCUGAAGAAGACUGGUCCUGAGCUAACAUCCAUGCCCAUCUUAUUCUACUUUAUAUGUGGGAUGCUUACGACAGCAUGGUGUGCCAAGCGAUGCCAUGUCCGCACCUGGGAUCCGAACCGGUGAACCCCGGGCUGCCAAAGCAGAACAUGCGAACUUAACUGCUGUGCCACCGGGCCGGCCCCUUCUUUCAAUAUUUUAAAGAUGUGUCUCCACUGUCCCCUGACUUACAUUAGUUCCAGUGAGAAAUCUGCUGUCAUCCUUAUCUUUGCUCCUCUGUAUGGAAUGCAUACUUUUUUUGCUUUUAACAUGUUCUCUUUAUCACUGCUUUUAAACAAUUCCAUUCUCGUUUAGUUUGGUGUCAUUUUCUUCAUGUUUCUUGUGCUUGGGAUUCACUGAGCUUCUUGGAUCCGUGAGUUUAUAGUUUUCUUCAAAUUCGGAAAAGUUUCAGCCAUCAUUUCUUCUGAUAUUUUUUCUGUUCCUCCCCACCCUCCCACGGGCACUCCAGCUACAUAUAUAUUAGACUGCCUGGGGUGCCUCCACAGCUCACUGAUGCUCUUCUCACUUUAUUUUCCCAGUCAUUUUUUAUCUGUUUCAUUUUGAAUAGUUU
This is a long non-coding RNA of Equus caballus (horse), 5266 nucleotides long. Lineage: Eukaryota; Metazoa; Chordata; Mammalia; Perissodactyla; Equidae. The record is from Ensembl.